RNAcentral lists this ribosomal RNA (659 nucleotides) under Lacticaseibacillus rhamnosus. RNAcentral describes it as "bacterial SSU rRNA". It matches the Rfam family "Bacterial small subunit ribosomal RNA", at positions 863 to 1520 of the family's 1533-position model. Lineage: Bacteria; Bacillati; Bacillota; Bacilli; Lactobacillales; Lactobacillaceae. The record is from RNAcentral.
AGCAUUCCGCCUGGGGAGUACGACCGCAAGGUUGAAACUCAAAGGAAUUGACGGGGGCCCGCACAAGCGGUGGAGCAUGUGGUUUAAUUCGAAGCAACGCGAAGAACCUUACCAGGUCUUGACAUCUUUUGAUCACCUGAGAGAUCAGGUUUCCCCUUCGGGGGCAAAAUGACAGGUGGUGCAUGGUUGUCGUCAGCUCGUGUCGUGAGAUGUUGGGUUAAGUCCCGCAACGAGCGCAACCCUUAUGACUAGUUGCCAGCAUUUAGUUGGGCACUCUAGUAAGACUGCCGGUGACAAACCGGAGGAAGGUGGGGAUGACGUCAAAUCAUCAUGCCCCUUAUGACCUGGGCUACACACGUGCUACAAUGGAUGGUACAACGAGUUGCGAGACCGCGAGGUCAAGCUAAUCUCUUAAAGCCAUUCUCAGUUCGGACUGUAGGCUGCAACUCGCCUACACGAAGUCGGAAUCGCUAGUAAUCGCGGAUCAGCACGCCGCGGUGAAUACGUUCCCGGGCCUUGUACACACCGCCCGUCACACCAUGAGAGUUUGUAACACCCGAAGCCGGUGGCGUAACCCUUUUAGGGAGCGAGCCGUCUAAGGUGGGACAAAUGAUUAGGGUGAAGUCGUAACAAGGUAGCCGUAGGAGAACCUGCGGCUG